GCCAGACCGAAGCCGGGAAGAGACAAAGCUGGCGGCCAGUGGGUCUUGCAAGGCCAAGAAAGAUAUAUGCUUAAUGGUGAGAGUGUACCUCCCAUGGACAUGACUUGAAUAGAUCACCUAGAAAUGACAGUUGUCCAUUCAGAACUGUCAAUGAAGAGGAAGCAGCAAAACUGAAAAGACAAAUACUAAAAGAAGUAUCCAGCUGAGAAAUGCAUAUGCAUGUCUAUGAGUUCAGAAUAAGAUGUCAGAUUCCCUAAAACUGAAGGUUUUAUAUAUUUACUGAAUACUGGUUGGAUAUUAUUUUUGCUUUUUAUAAUUUGUCUAUUCAGAAGAAUACACCAAAGGAAGCUGGAUAUAGAAAAA
Molecule: long non-coding RNA, 363 nt
Filed under: Mus pahari (shrew mouse)
Lineage: Eukaryota; Metazoa; Chordata; Mammalia; Rodentia; Muridae
Description: lncRNA (MGP_PahariEiJ_G0002406.1)
Source: RNAcentral